This 261-nucleotide long non-coding RNA is filed under the name Mytilus galloprovincialis (Mediterranean mussel). Lineage: Eukaryota; Metazoa; Mollusca; Bivalvia; Mytilida; Mytilidae. The record is from RNAcentral.
GAUCUGUGAUAUUAAUUUUACGAUAUUGGAGAUCUAGAGUUUCUUAAAAACACCGUAGACACAUCGGAAUUGUCCGAGUCGAUAUCACUGCACGCAGCCAAAACAAGCAAUCGCAGAAUAGCUACAUGUAUUGCACCGUGUGAAUGUCAUUCUAAGUAUACAAAAGCAUACACGAAUACAAUUAGCGAUGAAAACUAAGAUCAACUAACUGUGACAUCUAUAUUUAAUGUUUAUGUAGCUUUUGAAAUAUAAAAUUAAUAC